This 127-nucleotide non-coding RNA is filed under the name uncultured Geminigera. The record is from RNAcentral. Lineage: Eukaryota; Cryptophyceae; Pyrenomonadales; Geminigeraceae.
AAAGGAAAAACAAAUAGACAAAACAAGAACACAAAUACACACAUACAUGCGCAUGUGUGUAUAUGUAUUCGUACAUCUUUGAUUGUUUUUGUUCAUUGGGUGCCUUUUGUUUUCAUUUUCUUCCUCU